GCAUUAUACCGCGAAACUGCGAAUGGCUCAUUAUAUAAGUUAUCGUUUAUUUGAUAAUACUUUACUACUUGGAUAACCGUGGUAAUUCUAGAGCUAAUACAUGCUAAAAAUCCCGACUUCGGAAGGGUUGUAUUUAUUAGAUUAAAAACCAAUGCCCCUCGGGGCUCUCUGGUGAAUCAUGAUAACUAGUCGAAUCGACAGGCCUUGUGCCGGCGAUGGCUCAUUCAAAUUUCUUCCCUAUCAACUUUCGAUGUUUGGGUCUUGUCCAAACAUGGUGGCAACGGGUAACGGAGGGUUAGGGCUCGACCCCGGAGAAGGAGCCUGAGAAACGGCUACUACAUCCAAGGAAGGCAGCAGGCGCGCAAAUUACCCAAUCCCGACACGGGGAGGUAGUGACAAUAAAUACUGAUACAGGGCUCUUUUGGGUCUUGUAAUCGGAAUGAGUACAAUUUAAAUCCCUUAACGAGGAACAAUUGGAGGGCAAGUCUGGUGCCAGCAGCCGCGGUAAUUCCAGCUCCAAUAGCGUAUAUUAAAGUUGUUGUGGUUAAAAAGCUCGUAGUUGAACCUUGGGCCUGGCUGGCCGGUCCGCCUCACCGCGUGCACUGGUCCGGCCGGGCCUUUCCCUCUGCGGAACCCCAUGCCCUUCACUGGGUGUGGCGGGGAAACAGGACUUUUACUUUGAAAAAAUUAGAGUGCUCAAGGCAGGCCUAUGCUCGAAUACAUUAGCAUGGAAUAAUAGAAUAGGACGUGUGGUUCUAUUUUGUUGGUUUCUAGGACCGCCGUAAUGAUUAAUAGGGACAGUCGGGGGCAUCAGUAUUCAAUUGUCAGAGGUGAAAUUCUUGGAUUUAUUGAAGACUAACUACUGCGAAAGCAUUUGCCAAGGAUGUUUUCAUUAAUCAGGAACGAAAGUUAGGGGAUCGAAGACGAUCAGAUACCGUCGUAGUCUUAACCAUAAACUAUGCCGACUAGGGAUCGGACGAUGUUACAUUUUUGACGCGUUCGGCACCUUACGAGAAAUCAAAGUGC
This 1026-nucleotide ribosomal RNA is filed under the name fungal sp. 1 AKV-2015. Its description in RNAcentral is "SSU rRNA". It matches the Rfam family "Eukaryotic small subunit ribosomal RNA", at positions 71 to 1106 of the family's 1831-position model. The record is from RNAcentral. Lineage: Eukaryota; Fungi.